Molecule: ribosomal RNA, 305 nt
Filed under: uncultured bacterium
Lineage: Bacteria
Description: bacterial SSU rRNA
Rfam family: Bacterial small subunit ribosomal RNA
Source: RNAcentral
ACCUACGGGGGGCAGCAGUGAGGAAUAUUGGUCAAUGGGCGGAAGCCUGAACCAGCCAAGUCGCGUGAGGGACUAAGGCCCUGCGGGUCGUAAACCUCUUUUGCCGGGGAGCAGUGGUCCGGACGCGUCCGGACCGGGAGAGUACCCGGAGAAAAAGCAUCGGCUAACUCCGUGCCAGCAGCCGCGGUAAUACGGAGGAUGCGAGCGUUAUCCGGAUUUAUUGGGUUUAAAGGGUGCGUAGGCGGACUGGAAAGUCAGCGGUAAAAUCGAGAGGCUCAACCUCUUUCCGCCGUUGAAACUGUCGG